Molecule: ribosomal RNA, 889 nt
Filed under: uncultured bacterium
Lineage: Bacteria
Description: bacterial SSU rRNA
Rfam family: Bacterial small subunit ribosomal RNA
Source: RNAcentral
GACGCUGGCGGCAGGCUUACCAUGCAAGUCGAGCGGUAACAAGAGUACUUGCUACUUUGCUGACGAGCGGCGGCGGGUGAGUAAUGCUUGGGAAUAUGCCUUGAGGUGGGGGACAACAGUUGGAAACGACUGCUAAUACCGCAUAAUGUCUACGGACCAAAGGAGGGGAUCUUCGGACCUUUCGCCUUUAGAUUAGCCCAAGUGAGAUUAGCUAGAUGGUGGGGUAAAGGCUCACCAUGGCGACGAUCUCUAGCUGGUUUGAGAGGAUGAUCAGCCACACUGGGACUGAGACACGGCCCAGACUCCUACGGGAGGCAGCAGUGGGGAAUAUUGCACAAUGGGCGAAAGCCUGAUGCAGCCAUGCCGCGUGUGUGAAGAAGGCCUUCGGGUUGUAAAGCACUUUCAGUUGUGAGGAAAGGUAAGUAGUUAAUAACUGCUUGCUGUGACGUUAGCAACAGAAGAAGCACCGGCUAACUCCGUGCCAGCAGCCGCGGUAAUACGGAGGGUGCGAGCGUUAAUCGGAAUUACUGGGCGUAAAGCGUGCGUAGGCGGUUUGUUAAGCGAGAUGUGAAAGCCCAGGGCUCAACCUUGGAACUGCAUUUCGAACUGGCAGGCUAGAGUACUGUAGAGGGUGGUGGAAUUUUCCAGUGUAGCGGUGAAAUGCGUAGAGAUUGGAAGGAACAUCAGUGGCGAAGGCGGCCACCUGGACAGAUACUGACGCUGAGGCACGAAAGCGUGGGGAGCAAACAGGAUUAGAUACCCUGGUAGUCCCCGCCGUAAACGAUGUCAACUAGCUGUCUGUGGACUUGAUCCGUGGGUAGCGAAGCCAACGCAUAAGUUGACCGCCUGGGGAGUACGGCCGCAAGGUAAAACUCAAAUGAAUUGACGG